AGUGAUGACAGUGAGAGCGAACACAGCGGGGCGGAGGACGUGUGUGAGGAAUAGGAGACAUCAGAGAAGUUUGGCGAGUUUUAGUUUAGCGGUAGUUUAGUUAAAAAUGUUGCCUGUAUUUCUUCUGUUAUUUCAAAAUGUUAAAAACAUGUUGAUAAUAUUGCUUGAUUGUUAAUCGAUUUUAAUUUUGAAUCAUACUGUACAUAGUUCGCCCUUGUGAAACACUUUGUUUUGAAAAGUGCCGUAGGCCUGUACCGAUAAAUACGGUAUGUUAAUUAUUAUUAUAAUUAUUAAUACAACAGGUGUUUAAUUCAAUGUGUUUUUAAUAUUGUUAUUUUCAAAUAAAAUGAAGUUCUUUAAAAAAAGUUCUUUAUAAACACAA
Long non-coding RNA from Labrus mixtus (cuckoo wrasse), 382 nucleotides. RefSeq lists it as uncharacterized. The transcript is spliced from 2 exons. The record is from RefSeq and is a predicted model, not a curated record. NCBI's taxonomy places the organism in Eukaryota, Metazoa, Chordata, Actinopteri, Labriformes, Labridae.